Molecule: transfer RNA, 82 nt
Filed under: Enterococcus faecalis
Lineage: Bacteria; Bacillati; Bacillota; Bacilli; Lactobacillales; Enterococcaceae
Also listed under: 15 other names
Description: tRNA-Leu
Rfam family: tRNA
About the family: Transfer RNA (tRNA) molecules are approximately 80 nucleotides in length. Their secondary structure includes four short double-helical elements and three loops (D, anti-codon, and T loops). Further hydrogen bonds mediate the characteristic L-shaped molecular structure. tRNAs have two regions of fundamental functional importance: the anti-codon, which is responsible for specific mRNA codon recognition, and the 3' end, to which the tRNAs corresponding amino acid is attached (by aminoacyl-tRNA synthetases). tRNAs cope with the degeneracy of the genetic code in two manners: having more than one tRNA (with a specific anti-codon) for a particular amino acid; and 'wobble' base-pairing, i.e. permitting non-standard base-pairing at the 3rd anti-codon position.
Source: RNAcentral
GCGGGUGUGGCGGAAUUGGCAGACGCGCUAGAUUUAGGUUCUAGUGUCUCCGGACGUAUGAGUUCAAGUCUCAUCACCCGUA